AUGUCUGUUUUUGCUGGAAAUCAUCGCAUUUUUAUUUUUGCUACUACCAGCUUGUGUUUUUUCUGGAACCCGCAGCCAAUUUUGCUACUACCAUUUUUUGGGGUUUGCUGGAUUGCGCCAUUUUUUGCUGGAACCAGUAUCUUUUUUUCGGAAUCAGUGUAUUUUUUUUUGCUACCAACAGCUCCGCUGGCGAGCGCCGUCGUCAUCGCAUUACUGUUGCAACCAGAGGGCGAACACUGUGGUCUGGGCGGACGAUGGCGACGAGUCGUUCUUGGUGUUGGGACCGGCGGUGAGGUGCAACGACUAAUGCCGUCGAGGAUGCGCGGUGCUGCCACCGGUGAGGAGCGGCAUCGCGGCGGCGAGAAAGGGGAAGGACGCAAGGCGAACACUGUGGUCUGGGCGGACGAUGGCGACGAGUCGUUCUUGGUGCUGGGACCGGCGGUGAGGUGCAACGACUAA
This 459-nucleotide ribosomal RNA is filed under the name Triticum aestivum (bread wheat). RNAcentral describes it as "partial small subunit ribosomal RNA". The record is from RNAcentral. Lineage: Eukaryota; Viridiplantae; Streptophyta; Magnoliopsida; Poales; Poaceae.